CAGCCGUAAACAAUGUGCGUUAGGUGUGUCGGUAACCACGCGUUACUGAUGCGCCGAAGAGAAAUCGUGAAACGCUCCACCUGGGAAGUACGGUCGCAAGGCUGAAACUUAAAGGAAUUGGCGGGGGAGCACCACAACAGGUGGAGCCUGCGGUUUAAUUGGAUUCAACGCCGGACAUCUCACCGGAUAAGACAGCUGAAUGAUUGUCAAUCUGAAGGUUUUACAUGACUAGCUGAGAGGUGGUGCAUGGCGUCAGUGACU
This 261-nucleotide ribosomal RNA is filed under the name uncultured archaeon. RNAcentral's name for it is "partial 16S ribosomal RNA". It matches the Rfam family "Archaeal small subunit ribosomal RNA", at positions 748 to 1008 of the family's 1478-position model. The record is from RNAcentral.